ACUUGCAGCAUUUGUGGAAAUUGUACGGAGAAUGAGCAUCAUGCUGUGAUUAUGUGUACAAAAAGCAGGGCCUUAAGGGAUGCCAUGAGGGAGAUAUGGAAUCUACCUGAUGAAAGCAAAUUUUGGUACACAGGCGAGAACUGGUUACAAGUGCUGCUUGAUACUGAAUGUGAGGAGACGCGCACCAAAAUUCUAUUGCUUAUCUGGCGAUGCUGGCACCUGAGAGAAGACUGCAUCCGCAAUAACGGAAGAGAAUCAAUUGGGGGCUCAAUGCAGUUCUUGAAGCAGUACGAGGAGGACCCGAGAAAGGCAGCAGACUCAGCUGAAUGGACGGAUGGAAAAGUUACAGAAACUUCCCAUGGCUCCUACGCCCGGGGCGAUGUACCCCCUGACCGUGUGCUGAAGACACAGACGGACGGUGGAUUCCGCCGGAACGCGGGGUAG
Molecule: ribosomal RNA, 444 nt
Filed under: Triticum aestivum (bread wheat)
Lineage: Eukaryota; Viridiplantae; Streptophyta; Magnoliopsida; Poales; Poaceae
Description: partial small subunit ribosomal RNA
Source: RNAcentral